RNAcentral lists this ribosomal RNA (253 nucleotides) under uncultured bacterium. RNAcentral describes it as "partial 16S ribosomal RNA". It matches the Rfam family "Bacterial small subunit ribosomal RNA", at positions 524 to 776 of the family's 1533-position model. The record is from RNAcentral.
UACGAAGGGGGCUAGCGUUGUUCGGAAUCACUGGGCGUAAAGCGCACGUAGGCGGAUCCUUAAGUCAGGGGUGAAAUCCCGAGGCUCAACCUCGGAACUGCCUUUGAUACUGGGGAUCUCGAGUCCGGGAGAGGUGAGUGGAACUGCGAGUGUAGAGGUGAAAUUCGUAGAUAUUCGGAAGAACACCAGUGGCGAAGGCGGCUCACUGGACUGGUAUUGACGCUGAGGUGCGAAAGCGUGGGGAGCAAACAGG